UUCCAAGAUACAACUGUAUUUAUUUAACUGCCCACCUCUGCAUAAUUCCAUCCUUAUUUCAGACAUUGUGAUAUGCAGCUAUGUUUAGCUGGUGGUGUAUCACGAUGCCGAAAACCAAAUUAUCACCCAGCCCUCACACAGAUCGUGAUUCGCGAUAUCUUGCCAGGUCAGAUACUAUGAAACAGUUAUCACGAUAUGGGCUUCAAACCGGUUUUGGACGGUAAGUUGCCCAGCCCUGUACCUGAGAUAUUUAAACAAGAGAUGGUGGGGAUUAAAUCAAGGGAUCUUUCUGAAUGAAAGGAAAUUGCUUUGCCACUAAAGUAGCAUUGACAGCUUAGAGGGGGCAAGGUUAUGUAAAGCUCCAUCUGUCUUGAUGGCAACAUCACCAACAUCAUGGCGUAAGAAUGAAUGCCUUGAACAAUCUUUCCAAAAAUGCAAAGCGAGAGGAGCUGACUCAAUGAAGUUUAAAAAUUAUAAUUCUUCUGUAAUGG
This is a non-coding RNA of Podarcis lilfordi (Lilford's wall lizard), 491 nucleotides long. NCBI's taxonomy places the organism in Eukaryota, Metazoa, Chordata, Lepidosauria, Squamata, Lacertidae. The record is from the annotation of a GenBank genome assembly.